UACAGAGGUCCCAAGCGUUGUUCGGAUUCACUGGGCGUAAAGGGUGCGUAGGUGGUUAGGUAAGUCCGAUGUGAAAUCUCCAGGCUCAACCUGGAAAUGGCAUUGGAUACUAUUUAGCUUGAGGAGUGGAGGGGGGACUGGAAUUCUCGGUGUAGCAGUGAAAUGCGUAGAUAUCGAGAGGAACACCAGUGGCGAAGGCGAGUCCCUGGACACUUCCUGACACUGAGGCACGAAGGCCAGGGGAGCAAACGGG
RNAcentral lists this ribosomal RNA (253 nucleotides) under uncultured bacterium. RNAcentral describes it as "partial 16S ribosomal RNA". It matches the Rfam family "Bacterial small subunit ribosomal RNA", at positions 524 to 776 of the family's 1533-position model. The record is from RNAcentral.